Molecule: long non-coding RNA, 4831 nt
Organism: Homo sapiens (human)
Lineage: Eukaryota; Metazoa; Chordata; Mammalia; Primates; Hominidae
Exons: 5
Source: RefSeq, a predicted model, not a curated record
GUGCUUAUUUCACUGUCUAACCCUGCCCAGGCCCCGGGGAGAAGCCUGGUAUUCUUCGUGUUUAUUUAAUUGUCAACUCUCUGUGUUCUAAGACGAUACCCUGGCCUUGACUCAGUACAACCUAGGACUGUAAGUCCCAUCAUGUCUAUGGACUUCAGUUUCCAGACAUGAAACACAAGAGGCUUGGACGAGAUUAGAAAUCAAGAACUCGAAUGCGUAUGGUCAGAGCCACGAGAGUUUCCAUAAAGGAACACAACCAUGUGGACAACUUGAUUAUGCCCUACAAAACUGAAUUCCUGUGAGCAUUCCUCUUCAAGAUGGAAGAAAAAGGGAAUAUUUCACAACCCCAAUGGUGAAACGUCUGCCUAUAGCCAACAAUACAAUCUCCAUCCAUGUAUGAUGUGACUUGCUCCUACAUGCCUUCCACCAUGAUUAUGAGGCCUCCUGAGCCAUGUGGAACUGUAAGUCUGUUAAACCUCUUUUUCUUCCCAGUCUUGGGUAUGUCUUUAUCAGCAGUGUGAAAAUGGACUAAUACAAGAUAUAUUAAAGAAUACUCAACAUCACUAAUCAUCAGGGAAAUGCAAAUCAAAAUUACGAGAUAGCACCUCACUCCAGUCAGAAUGGCUAUGGCUACUAUAAAAAAUUAUGUCACUUUUGAUCUGUAGCCAUUAUAUUUAAAAGUUUCAUCAAUUCUAAGAUGCAUGUUUAUAAAAAAUCAAUCUCUCUGAAAUCAGGAGUAUUUAAUAAUUGGAGACAUUAAAUUAAAGAAAAUGCUAUGUAUCUUAUUAUUUUAAAGACAGCAUCAGAAUUCCCCAGGGGUUAAAUUUGUAACAUCAUGUCCAUGUGUAAUUUUAAAUUUAUCCAAUAAGAAUAAGAUGGUUGAUUGAAGGUGCUUAAUGCUUAUUCCCAUCCUCACAAAAAUGGACCAAAACAGUAAACAAAUAACUACAUUUUGACCAGAGUGACUAAAGGAGAGUGCUGAAGUAUAGCAAGGGAGUGGCAGAAACUCUGUGUGGCAUGGAAACUCAGGAUGGCUUCAUAGAAAAGGGGUUGAAACACCUUGCUUCUGCCAGCCCAUUCCCCGAGUUGGGAUCAACUCAGAAACCAGGAGGGCCUUCUCUCUCUAAGGAAGAGGUAAGCAAGAGGCCCUGAGAGACCCUCAUCACCACCACAGGCAUUUGCAGUCUUCACUACUGGAGAAGCCUACAGUCCUCACAGGCACUGAGUCCAGUUUAGGGAGCUGCCUGGAGUUCAUACAGCUGCAUUACUCCAGGGGAGGAGCCCACAUUGUGCCCUGCUCCUUGUUUUCCAACCUCCUACUGCAAGGUUCCAUUUUCAAACCACAGCCCCUCUUAGAGUGUACCCUGCUCCAGGGACUAGUAGCCAUUGCAUCCCUCCAUCCCAGAGAUUCUGCUGUUAUGGCUUCACAUAGACACACAGUACUGCACCACAUUCUCCAGCUAUACUGCCCAGGAAUCACUCUACCUCCCCCAUCCCUGUUGCUGCUGCACCUCAACCUGCUACUUGAAACCACAGGCCCAGCAAAGAAACUGUGCUCCAAGUGCCCAAACCAAUUCAGUUCCCUGUUCCGCAGGAAUCAGAGCUUCAGCAUAGGGAAGCAGCCAUGACCCCAGCAUCGAAGCCCAUGCUGUGCCUUGCCCUUAGGAGACCAGGUGCUCUCAUCUAGUGGAAAAGCUGUACCUAAGCCUGUGGAGCAGUCAAGGCCCCUCAGCUUUAACCAAUCUGAUUCCCCACCCCCAGGGAAUCGCAGUUUUGGCCCUGAGAGCAGCUGAAAGCCUGACACUCAAGCCCAUAUGGAACCUUGUUCCCUGGAAACCAGAUGCACGUGCCUUUCAGAGUAGCUGUGCCCUCAGCACUUGAAGCAACCCAGUACCUUGCCUCUCUGAAUCAGAGCUUCAGCCCAGGGGAGUAGCUGUGACACUGGCGCUUGAGCCCAUAUAGCAUCAGACCUCUCAGAUAUCCAGAGCCUGGUCCAGAAGAGCUGGACCAGGUACCCCCUGGCACCUGAGUGAUGUGGUGCCUUACACUCAGGGAAACAGAGCCUUGGAUGAGCUGUGCCACCCCACUGUCUGGGCUGAACAGCUGCAGUGGCCUGCUUCCAUGAAUCUGGACUAUCCCACUGAAGUCUGAGUGGUUGAGUUAGGCCAUAAUUACACUGCUUCUUACCCUCUGGAGUUCAAGUCACUGCUGUACCCUGCCAUUCCUGGGUCCUUUCUAUCAUCACACUUGGCAUCACAAAGUUUGAGCCAGUGCUGUAUCCUACCACUCCAGUGUCCAGAGUCACCACUGUGUGGUGUAAUUUCUCCUGUUGCUCGAGUUACCACUGUGCCCUGUUGUAUCUUGGAGCCCAAAUUGCAGCUGUUCCCUGCUUUAAGGAACACAAUAAUGCUCUAGUAACUAACCUCAAAGAAAUGAAAAUCUAUGAAUUAUUUGAAAAGGAAUUUGAAACAAUGCUUUAAGGAUACUCAGUAAGAUACAGGAGAAUACAGAUAGACAAUUUAAUGAAAUUAGAAAAACAAUUCAUAAUAAAAAUGAAAAAUUCAACAAAAAGAUGUUAUAGAAAAGAACCAACAGAGAUCUUGGAGCUGAGGAACACUAUGAAUGAAAUAGAAAAAAACGAUUGAGAGUCACAGUAAAUUACAUAAAGGAGAAGGAAGAAUCUUUGAACUUGAAGACAGGUCUUUCGAAAUCAACUAAUCCAUGGAAAAAAACAAGUUUAAAAAAAGAGUGAAGAAAGCCUAUAGGACUUAUGGGAUACCAUUAAGCAAACAAAGAUUUGCAUUAUGGGAAUUCCAGAGUACAAAGAGAUGGUGAAGGUCACAGAAACAUUAUUUAACAAAAUAAUUAUGGAAAACUUCUCAAGUCUUGGAAGCGAUUUGGGUAUCCAGAUCCAUUUGGCUCAAACCACAAACAGGUUCAACUCAAAGAGGUCCAUAUUGAGGCACAUUAUAAUCAAAAUGUCAAAAGUCAAAGACAAAGAAAAAUUUAAAAGCAACAAGAGAAUAUCAUUAAAUGACAGAGAAGAAAAUCUCCUUUAGUCUAUCCACAGAUUUCUCAGCAGAAACUUUUCAGGCCAGGAGAAAAUGGGAUGAUAUAUUCAAAAUGCUGAAAGAAAAAUCUGCCAGUCAAGAAUACUCUAUCUAGUAAAACUGUCCUACAGAAAUGAAGGAGAAAUAAAGUAUUUCCUAGACAAACAAAAGUUGAGGGAAUUCAUUACCACUAGAACUGCCUUACAUGAUAUGCCUAAGGGAGUGUUUCAACCAGAAAUGAAAGCAUGAUAAUUACUAAUAUGAAAAUGUAUGAAAUAAAACUCAUUGGCAGAGGUAAAUUCAUAAUCAAAUUCAAAAUGCUCUGUGACAGAAAUGGUGGUGGGUAAAUCUUUCAAAUCUCUAGUAUGAAGGUUAAAAGUCAAAAUGGUAAAAAUAAGUAACUAUAGUUACCAUAAGUUGCUAAGGAAUAUACAAUACAAAAGAAUGCAAAUUGUGGUAACCCUAUUAUAAAUCAUAAUGAGGAGGAUAAAAUAUUUGAUGUGACCCAAAUUAAGUUGUUAUCAGCUAAAAAUAGCUUAUUGUAAGUAUAAGAUAUUUUAUGUAAACCCCAUGAUAACUACAAAGCAAAAAACUACAGCACAUACACGAACAAGAAAGAGAAAAAAAAAAAUAAAAAUUAGCACUACAGAAAAUCACCAAAUCACCAAGGUGAACAAUAAGAGAGGAAGAAAGAAAAGUGAUCUAACAAUGUCAACAAAAUGGCAGCAAUAAAUCCUUACCUAUCAUUAAAAAACUUAAAUGUAAAUAGAUUAAACUCUCUUAUUAGAAGACAAAAAAGUGGCUGAAUGGAUUUAAAAAAAGAAGAUGCAACUAUAUUGUGCUUACAAGAGACCAUUUUUGUUUUAAGGAUAAAUAAAGUUUGAAAGUGAGAUAGAAGAAGAUAUUACAGGCCACUAGUAACUAGAAAAAAGCUGAGGUGGUUUUAUUUAUAUCAGUUAAAAUAGACAUUAAGUCAAGAACUGUUAUAACAGACAAAAGGGUCAUUAUUUAAUAAUAAAGGAGUCAACUCAUCAAGAAGACAAUUUAUAAUUUGUAAUCACAAUAUUUACAAUUUUCAUAAUUAUAAAUGUAGAUGCACUCAACAUAAAAUCACAUAAAUAUAUAAAGCGAAUUUUAAUGAACAUGAGGGAAGAAAUAGAUAGCAAUACAAUAAUACUAGGGUACUUUAAUAUCCCACUUUCAAUAAUGGAUAGAUCAGCUGGACAGAAGGUUCACAAGGAAAUUCUGGAACGGAACUGAACUUUACACCAAUUGGACCUUAGAGACACAUAUAGAGUUUUUCAUCUGACAGUAGCAGAAUAUAUAUUCUUCUUUAACAUUCAUGAGAUGUACUUCAGUAUACACCAUAUGUUAGGCCACGAAACAAGUCUUAGCAAAUUAAAAGAUAUUGAAAUUAUAUCUAGUAUUGUCUCCAACCAGAAUAGUACCAUUGUAGUUUCAUAGUGGAAAUCAGCAACAGGAAGAAUCUUGGAAAAUUUACAAAUAUGUGGAAAUUAAACAACAUGCUUCUGAAAAACCAAGGUUAAAGAAAAAAAAUAAGAGAAAACUUAAAAAAUUUCUUGAGACAAAUGGCAAUGGAAGCACAACAUAUCCCAACCUAUGGGAUACAGCAACAGCAAAAGCAAUUCUAAGAGGGAAGUUGAUAGCAAUAAGUGCCUACAUUAAAAAUGAAGAAAUAUCCCCAAAACAUAGCCCAACAUUAUGCUUCAAGGGGCUAGAAAAAGAACAAACUAAACCCAAAGUUAGUAGAAGGAAAUAAA